GACGAACGCUGGCGGCGCGCCUAACACAUGCAAGUCGAACGAGCAAAGAGGAGCUUGCCUCUCUGAGCGAGUGGCGAACGGGUGAGUAACGCGUGAGGAACCUGCCUCAAAGAGGGGGACAACAGUUGGAAACGACUGCUAAUACCGCAUAAGCCCACGGGUCGGCAUCGACCAGAGGGAAAAGGAGCAAUCCGCUUUGAGAUGGCCUCGCGUCCGAUUAGCUAGUUGGUGAGGUAAUGGCCCACCAAGGCGACGAUCGGUAGCCGGACUGAGAGGUUGAACGGCCACAUUGGGACUGAGACACGGCCCAGACUCCUACGGGAGGCAGCAGUGGGGAAUAUUGCACAAUGGGGGAAACCCUGAUGCAGCGACGCCGCGUGGAGGAAGAAGGUCUUCGGAUUGUAAACUCCUGUUGUUGAGGAAGAUAAUGACGGUACUCAACAAGGAAGUGACGGCUAACUACGUGCCAGCAGCCGCGGUAAAACGUAGGUCACAAGCGUUGUCCGGAAUUACUGGGUGUAAAGGGAGCGCAGGCGGGAAGACAAGUUGGAAGUGAAAUCCAUGGGCUCAACCCAUGAACUGCUUUCAAAACUGUUUUUCUUGAGUAGUGCAGAGGUAGACGGAAUUCCCGGUGUAGCGGUGGAAUGCGUAGAUAUCGGGAGGAACACCAGUGGCGAAGGCGGCCUACUGGGCACCAACUGACGCUGAGGCUCGAAAGUGUGGGUAGCAAACAGGAUUAGAUACCCUGGUAGUCCACACCGUAAACGAUGAUUACUAGGUGUUGGAGGAUUGACCCCUUCAGUGCCGCAGUUAACACAAUAAGUAAUCCACCUGGGGAGUACGACCGCAAGGUUGAAACUCAAAGGAAUUGACGGGGGCCCGCACAAGCAGUGGAGUAUGUGGUUUAAUUCGACGCAACGCGAAGAACCUUACCAAGUCUUGACAUCCUGCGACGGACAUAGAAAUAUGUCUUUCCUUCGGGACGCAGAGACAGGUGGCGCAUGGUUGUCGUCAGCUCGUGUCGUGAGAUGUUGGGUUAAGUCCCGCAACGAGCGCAACCCUUAUGGUCAGUUACUACGCAAGAGGACUCUGGCCAGACUGCCGUUGACAAAACGGAGGAAGGUGGGGAUGACGUCAAAUCAUCAUGCCCUUUAUGACUUGGGCUACACACGUACUACAAUGGCGUUAAACAAAGAGAAGCAAGACCGCGAGGUGGAGCAAAACUCAGAAACAACGUCCCAGUUCGGACUGCAGGCUGCAACUCGCCUGCACGAAGUCGGAAUUGCUAGUAAUCGUGGAUCAGCAUGCCACGGUGAAUACGUUCCCGGGCCU
RNAcentral lists this ribosomal RNA (1332 nucleotides) under uncultured bacterium. RNAcentral describes it as "bacterial SSU rRNA". It matches the Rfam family "Bacterial small subunit ribosomal RNA", at positions 28 to 1381 of the family's 1533-position model. The record is from RNAcentral.